CACGUGCAAGUCGAGCGCGAAAAUUUCUUCGGGAAUGAGUAGAGCGGCGGACGGGUGAGUAACGCGUAGGAAUCUGCCCGGUAGUGGGGGACAACAGUCGGAAACGACUGCUAAUACCGCAUACGCCCGUAAGGGGGAAAGCGAGGGGAUCUUCGGACCUUGCGCUAUCGGAUGAGCCUGCGUCGGAUUAGCUUGUUGGUGGGGUAAUGGCCUACCAAGGCGACGAUCCGUAGCUGGUCUGAGAGGAUGAUCAGCCACACUGGGACUGAGACACCGGCCCAGACUCCUACGGGAGGCAGCAGGUGGGGAAUAUUGGACAAUGGGGAAACCCUGAUCCAGCCAUGCCGCGUGUGUGAAGAAGGCCUUCGGGUUGUAAAGCACUAUCAGUAGGGAGGAAAAGUUGAUGGCUAAUACCCAUCAGCCCUGACGUUACCUACAGAAGAAGCACCGGCAAACUCCGUG
RNAcentral lists this ribosomal RNA (462 nucleotides) under uncultured bacterium. Its description in RNAcentral is "bacterial SSU rRNA". It matches the Rfam family "Bacterial small subunit ribosomal RNA", at positions 52 to 507 of the family's 1533-position model. The record is from RNAcentral.